This 262-nucleotide ribosomal RNA is filed under the name uncultured bacterium. RNAcentral describes it as "partial 16S ribosomal RNA". It matches the Rfam family "Bacterial small subunit ribosomal RNA", at positions 793 to 1055 of the family's 1533-position model. The record is from RNAcentral.
GUCCACGCCCUAAACGAUGGCAACUAGUUGUUGGGGAUUAACAUCCUUAGUAACGCAGCUAACGCGUGAAGUUGCCCGCCUGGGGAGUACGGUCGCAAGAUUAAAACUCAAAGGAAUUGACGGGGCCCGCACAAGCGGUGGAUGAUGUGGUUUAAUUCGAUGCAACGCGAAAACCUUACCUACCCUUGACAUGCCAGGAAGACCGCAGAGAUGUGGUUGUGCCCGAAAGGGAACCUGGACACAGGUGCUGCAUGGCUGUCGU